UGAUGUAAUACCCAGUUUAGAAAUGUCACCUUGUACAUUCUACUAUUAGAACUUUCACGACUAAGUUUAAAGCUGGACUGAAUUCCUUUAAAAAUAUAUAUAUAUAUUUUUUUUAAAUUGAGGGGGCCGAACCCUCGCUGCCGACCGCGGGGGGGGACGACGGGACGGGACGACAGUUUGGGAACCACUGGUAUAGACGACCACCUAUUGUUUCAAUCAAUCAGCUGUGUUUCAGUACAAUGUCUAUAUGGGGUACAUGUCAAUGAAGCCAAAUGUUACUUUUUUAGUGUCUUAGUUUACCCUUAAAUUGCAAUAACAACGAUAGAGACCUUUGAAAAUUGGACUAUCCAAACCUUUAUUCAAAGAAAGCACUGUUGUGAUAUUUAAAAUGACAAGAAACAAAGCUUAACCUACUGUACCAGUGAGUGGAUGAAGUGAUGUGCGUUACCAAUACCUACCAGUGAGUGGAUGAGGUGACGUGCAGCACCAAUACCUACCACUGAGUGGAUGAGGUGACGCGCAGCACCAAUACCUACCACUGAGUGGAUGAGGUGACGCGCAGCACCAAUACCUACCACUGAGUGGAUGAGGUGACGUGCAGCACCAAUACCUACCACUGAGUGGAUGAGGUGACGCGCAGCACCAAUACCUACCACUGAGUGGAUGAGGUGACGUGCAGCACCAAUACCUACCACUGAGUGGAUGAGGUGACGUGCAGAGUUAGUUUUUGUCUUACCUUGUGAGAGGUAGUGUGUGGUUCAUAUAGCCCGUGCAG
Molecule: long non-coding RNA, 775 nt
Filed under: Salmo salar (Atlantic salmon)
Lineage: Eukaryota; Metazoa; Chordata; Actinopteri; Salmoniformes; Salmonidae
Description: lncRNA (ENSSSAG00000092489.1)
Source: RNAcentral